RNAcentral lists this ribosomal RNA (425 nucleotides) under uncultured bacterium. Its description in RNAcentral is "bacterial SSU rRNA". It matches the Rfam family "Bacterial small subunit ribosomal RNA", at positions 354 to 776 of the family's 1533-position model. The record is from RNAcentral.
GUGAGGAAUAUUGGUCAAUGGGCGCAAGCCUGAACCAGCCAUGCCGCGUGCAGGAAGACGGUCCUAUGGAUUGUAAACUGCUUUUAUCAGGGAAUAAACCUCUUUACGUGUAGAGAGCUGAAGGUACCUGAUGAAUAAGCACCGGCUAACUCCGUGCCAGCAGCCGCGGUAAUACGGAGGGUGCAAGCGUUAUCCGGAAUCAUUGGGUUUAAAGGGUCCGCAGGCGGGAAGAUAAGUCAGUGGUGAAAUCUCACAGCUCAACUGUGAAACUGCCAUUGAUACUGUCUUUCUUGAAUUCGAUCGAAGUGGGCGGAAUGUGACAUGUAGCGGUGAAAUGCUUAGAUAUGUCACAGAACACCGAUAGCGAAGGCAGCUCACUAGGUCUGGAUUGACGCUCAGGGACGAAAGCGUGGGGAGCAAACAGG